GGGCUGGGGCUCAGCGGUAGAGCACUCGCCUAGCAUGUGUGAGGCACUGGGUUCAAUCUCAGCACCACA
This 69-nucleotide transfer RNA is filed under the name Marmota monax (woodchuck). RNAcentral's name for it is "tRNA.Ala". Lineage: Eukaryota; Metazoa; Chordata; Mammalia; Rodentia; Sciuridae. The record is from RNAcentral.